Molecule: transfer RNA, 73 nt
Filed under: Trichonephila inaurata madagascariensis
Lineage: Eukaryota; Metazoa; Arthropoda; Arachnida; Araneae; Nephilidae
Rfam family: tRNA
About the family: Transfer RNA (tRNA) molecules are approximately 80 nucleotides in length. Their secondary structure includes four short double-helical elements and three loops (D, anti-codon, and T loops). Further hydrogen bonds mediate the characteristic L-shaped molecular structure. tRNAs have two regions of fundamental functional importance: the anti-codon, which is responsible for specific mRNA codon recognition, and the 3' end, to which the tRNAs corresponding amino acid is attached (by aminoacyl-tRNA synthetases). tRNAs cope with the degeneracy of the genetic code in two manners: having more than one tRNA (with a specific anti-codon) for a particular amino acid; and 'wobble' base-pairing, i.e. permitting non-standard base-pairing at the 3rd anti-codon position.
Source: Rfam by way of RNAcentral
GUCUCUGUAGUGCCAUUUAAAGCGCGUUGGACAUCUAAUCCAAAGGUCGUGGGUUCGAAUCCUAUUUGGGAUG